AUGAGAAAUCAUUCUCACUUGAAAUUAUUCAAAAGUUUCCAAGUUCUGAAGCACAACAUAGGUCCGCAGAUCAAAUUUGGUCCAUUCAUAACUCAACAAAAACUGUAACUUGCAUACACUUCUAAAUACAUCUUCAUGACAUUCAGAGCAGGUAUAAAGGACACCAUGCAAAGUUCCAAAAUGUUAAAGAAGUUCCUUGCAAAUUGAACAAAAUCAGGUUGACUUUAAAAUUUUUCAUCAGCAUAUAUCCAAAACUUGUAAGUUGUUUCAGCCUGAGAACAAAAUACAGUUUCAGAAAUCCAAGGUUUCAAAAUUUACCUCCCAUAUAACCUUUCCAAAAGGUGUACCAGAAGAUUGGACUUCCUGGUGGUCUCGUGGUUAGGACUCUGUGCUUCCUCUGCAGGGGGCAUGGGUUUGAUCUCUGGUCAGGGAACUAAGAUCCCACAUGCUACAUGGUACAGACAAAAACCAUUUUUUUUAAUGUAAACAAAAAAGAUGUACUAGGGAAUAUAUUGGAAUAAAGUGAAAAUUUAAUCUCAAAAGUAGAUUGGGAUCCAAGAUAUAAUGGAACCAAAACCUCUUGUAGUAGAGCAGAGAUAAGUGUACUUAGUAUUGAUAAUAAUGUGGAUAUGAAAUAGAAGAUUCUAAGUUGGAAUUCAUGUGGUGAAUAGUGUUAACACAAAGAAUAGACAUUUAGUAUUAUGCGUGUUUGUGUUUUCUACUUACACAAGUAAAUGCAGCAGGCUCUUGAUCUUUUCUGUCACACAUGAUGUGUAUACAUACAGUUUGAUUCCACUACCUUUGGCGUAUCCAUUUUUACAGUGAAGGACGCUUCUGAUGCCUCCACAUCACCUCCCUGCUGCCAUAAACACCACAGUGAGUUCCAAAGAAUAGUAAGGAGAGAUAAGAAAGCCAUCCUCAGUGAUCAAUGCAAAGAAAUAGAGGAAAACAACAGAAUGGGAAAGACUAGAGAUCUCUUCAAGAAAAUUAGAGAUACCAAGAGAACAUUUCAUGCAAAGAUCGGCACAAUAAAGGACAGAAAUGGUAUGGACCUAACAGAAACAGAAGAUAUUAAGAAGAGGUGGCAAGAAUACACAGAAGAACUACAAAAAAGAUCUUUAUGACCCAGAUAACCACAAUGGUGUGAUCACUCACCUAGAGCCAGACUUCCUGGAAUGCAAACUCAAGGGGGCCUUAGGAAGCAUCACUACGAACAAAGCUAGUAGAGG
This is a long non-coding RNA of Bos taurus (domestic cattle), 1229 nucleotides long. The record is from Ensembl. NCBI's taxonomy places the organism in Eukaryota, Metazoa, Chordata, Mammalia, Artiodactyla, Bovidae.